AGGAAAUGAGGAAUGGGUUUAAUCUCGCUUGAUGCGUGAAGAGCGUUCAGCUCAAAGCCUGUUACGACAAUUUGACGCUCCAAUUCUCGUACGAUCUGAUCCC
Molecule: non-coding RNA, 103 nt
Organism: Arabis alpina (gray rockcress)
Lineage: Eukaryota; Viridiplantae; Streptophyta; Magnoliopsida; Brassicales; Brassicaceae
Source: Rfam